UUCGCAAUGCCCGAAAGGGUGACGAAGCGACGCCGCGUGUGGGAAGAAGGCCUUCGGGUUGUAAACCACUGUCGGGAGUUAGGAAAUGUAAGGGUGCUAAUAGUAUCCUUACUUGACUAAGGCUCCGGAGGAAGCCACGGCUAACUCUGUGCCAGCAGCCGCGGUAGUACAGAGGCGGCAAGCGUUGUUCGGAAUUAUUGGGCGUAAAGAGCACGUAGGCGGCCUUGUAAGUCAGUUGUGAAAGCCUUCAGCUUAACGGAAGAACAGCAGCUGAUACUGCAAGGCUAGAGUGCGGAAGGGGAGAGUGGAACUUCUGGUGGAGCGGUGAAAUGCGUAGAUAUCAGAAGGAACACCGGCGGCGAAGGCGACUCUCUGGUCCGUAACUGACGCUGAGUGUGCGAAAGCUAGGGGAGCAAACGGGAUUAGAUACCCCGGUAGUCCUAGCCGUAAAC
RNAcentral lists this ribosomal RNA (452 nucleotides) under uncultured bacterium. RNAcentral describes it as "bacterial SSU rRNA". It matches the Rfam family "Bacterial small subunit ribosomal RNA", at positions 365 to 807 of the family's 1533-position model. The record is from RNAcentral.